Molecule: ribosomal RNA, 473 nt
Filed under: Centipeda infelix
Lineage: Bacteria; Bacillati; Bacillota; Negativicutes; Selenomonadales; Selenomonadaceae
Description: bacterial SSU rRNA
Rfam family: Bacterial small subunit ribosomal RNA
Source: RNAcentral
GACGAACGCUGGCGGCGUGCUUAACACAUGCAAGUCGAACGGAGCGAAUGAAAGCUUGCUUUUAUGAGCUUAGUGGCAAACGGGUGAGUAACACGUAGACAACCUGCCGACAGGAUGGGGACAACAUUCCGAAAGGAAUGCUAAUACCGAAUGAAGCGGAGGAGAGGCAUCUCUCUUCCGUGAAAGAUGGCCUCUGAAAAUGCUAUCACCUGUCGAUGGGUCUGCGUCUGAUUAGCUGGUUGGUGAGGUAACGGCUCACCAAGGCGACGAUCAGUAGCCGGUCUGAGAGGAUGAACGGCCACAUUGGGACUGAGACACGGCCCAGACUCCUACGGGAGGCAGCAGUGGGGAAUCUUCCGCAAUGGGCGCAAGCCUGACGGAGCAACGCCGCGUGAGUGAAGAAGGUCUUCGGAUCGUAAAGCUCUGUUGACGGGGACGAACGUGCGAAGGGUGAAUAAUCCUUUGUAAUGACG